AGAGUUUGAUCCUGGCUCAGGACGAACGCUGGCGGCGUGCUUAACACAUGCAAGUCGAACGAUGAAAGCAGGAGCUUGCUCUUGCCGGAUUAGUGGCGAACGGGUGAGUAACACGUGAGCAAUCUGCCCCUGACUCUGGGAUAAGCGUUGGAAACGACGUCUAAUACCGGAUACGAGCUAAGGCCGCAUGGCCAUUAGUUGGAAAGAAUUUCGGUCAGGGAUGAGCUCGCGGCCUAUCAGCUAGUUGGUGAGGUAAUGGCCCACCAAGGCGACGACGGGUAGCCGGCCUGAGAGGGUGACCGGCCACACUGGGACUGAGACACGGCCCAGACUCCUACGGGAGGCAGCAGUGGGGAAUAUUGCACAAUGGGCGCAAGCCUGAUGCAGCAACGCCGCGUGAGGGACGAAGGCCUUCGGGUUGUAAACCUCUUUUAGCAGGGAAGAAGCGAAAGUGACGGUACCUGCAGAAAAAGCACCGGCUAACUACGUGCCAGCAGCCGCGGUAAUACGUAGGGUGCAAGCGUUGUCCGGAAUUAUUGGGCGUAAAGAGCUCGUAGGCGGUUUGUCGCGUCUGCUGUGAAAAUCCGAGGCUCAACCUCGGACCUGCAGUGGGUACG
This 617-nucleotide ribosomal RNA is filed under the name uncultured bacterium. RNAcentral's name for it is "bacterial SSU rRNA". It matches the Rfam family "Bacterial small subunit ribosomal RNA", at positions 8 to 634 of the family's 1533-position model. The record is from RNAcentral.